Molecule: long non-coding RNA, 549 nt
Filed under: Prunus persica (peach)
Lineage: Eukaryota; Viridiplantae; Streptophyta; Magnoliopsida; Rosales; Rosaceae
Description: long non-coding RNA (PPER_LNC005672)
Source: RNAcentral
UUUUCUUAAACCACUGAGAUCGUCAGUUUUGGUCCUGUCCAUCGCUCUAGAAAAAAUUAAAGCACAAAUGAUAAAGAGAACAAUAUCUUUUGGUUUAGUGAUAUUUCUUUUCUUAAUAGAUAUGAAAACAGAUUCAUCGAGUUGGAGUCAGUGAUUACAAAUCACUUGUCCAAAAAUUCGCAAUCCCCAUCGGAACAUAUGUCCGUUGAAUCCCUUUUUUUUUUUCUUUCCUUUUUUCUAACCCUAAUUCUAACUCUUUAUUUUCACAUUUCCAUAGUAUAUGAAUUCAUCAAUCAUCACUCACUCUAGUCUUUUGGUUUAGUGAUAUUUCUUUUCUUAAUAGAUAUGAAAACGGAGUCAUUUGGUUGGUGUCGGGGAUUCCAAUCAUCUUCACAAUCCCCAUCGGAACAUAUGUCUGGUGAAUCCCUGAAUUUUUUUUUUUCUUUUUCUAACCCUACAUUCUAACUCUUUAUUUUCACAUUUCCACUAGUAUAUGAAUUCAUUAAUCAUCACUCUAGUAAUUUACCAUUAAUUGAAACUAUAAAUUUA